CAAGGCAGAAUACCAUGCUCCAAAUCAUGCAUGUACAUAGUGUAGGUGCACUUAACACACAAGCACACACGCAUGAAUGCCAUGCUCCAAAUCAUGCAUGUACAUAGUGUAGGUGCACUUACACACAAGCACACAGCAUGAAUGGCAUACAAGUGAGCAGGAGUCACGUGUGAACAUGUGAACAGUGUGAACAGCCACACAAUGCAUAAUGCCCACAUGCACACUCCACACAUACAAUGUAUCAGUCAUCUUACACACACCGCACAGUAUCAUGGCAGAUUGCACUUAGAGAAGUGGGUGAGUUACUUCCUGCAUAAUAACCAUUACAGUGGUCAUUCUUAGUCACACACUUAACUACACACACUGCAGCUCACAAUGUAAAAACACUGGUGGAGGUGAAUUCUAGCCUUUUCUGGGCAUGGGGAGAGCUCACGUUCCUUCCCUCAGGCCAAGCCCAGCUCCUGUAAAUGUGCAGCCUUUCUUCACCCUGUCAGAAGUCUGAGGUCCCAAGACUGCCAACCGGAAGAAUCAGAGAGAGACUCUCCAGGUGCCAUAGGAACAUUGAGGAUCCUCCUGAGAGCGCCUCUGCGGGGCAAACCCAGAGGUGCAGGCUGUCUGCAGGCCUUUCGCAGGCCUUGGUUCUGCACAAGAGCACUGUCAUGUUCACCUUAAAUUGGCACCAUACUCCACACAUCUAAGCUACAUUUUCAGGAAGGUGGAGAUUCAAACGGAACCAACUAAGUUGGUCUCAGAAAACCCCCUCGGCCUCCACAGGGCACAUGGCAGUGGAGUGUUACCACUCGGGACCCGUAGCUAUCAAGAAGACUGGCCUGAAAGGUGACCACGGAAAACUAGAAAAGAGUCCCACUUCCUCUCAUGCGCUAGGAGCAUCUUCUACUCCACAGUCAAAUAUGUGAGCUCCACAUCUGAAUAUAAACUCAGAAAACCUCA
Molecule: long non-coding RNA, 951 nt
Organism: Mesocricetus auratus (golden hamster)
Lineage: Eukaryota; Metazoa; Chordata; Mammalia; Rodentia; Cricetidae
Exons: 2
Source: RefSeq, a predicted model, not a curated record